AAUGAGAAAAUGACAAAUCGAUUUUUUUUUCUUGAUUUUUAGCCUUUUCCUUUUAAAAAAAUUCAAAUCAAACUAAAAAUACUAAAAAUUAGAAGGAAAAAUCUAAUUUUUCAUUCUCUCAUU
Molecule: microRNA precursor, 123 nt
Filed under: Gossypium arboreum
Lineage: Eukaryota; Viridiplantae; Streptophyta; Magnoliopsida; Malvales; Malvaceae
Description: MIR7504 microRNA precursor family
Rfam family: MIR7504 microRNA precursor family
Source: Rfam by way of RNAcentral